GCUCGGCCCCGGGGCGAGAAAGCAACGGCUCGGUCUUGGGGGGCCUCGUGUAGCCCGGCCGAGCCCAGCUGCUGGGCCGGCCCCGACUCCUCCCCUCCGGGCGCGGCCUCCACCUAAGUCUCCCGCCUCCCUCACCUGCCGCCGCCGCCGUAGUUGCUGCUGCCGCCUGCCGGUCCUCUAGCUUCGACAAAGAGCCGCCUACCCUCUCGCCCUUCCGCUUCCUGCGGAAGAAGCGACGCUCUAGCCACCAGACCCGGAACUACUCUAUGGUGUGCAGAGUACUUGAGCGGGUCGCCGCAGGAAGUUCCCAGCAAGCCUUGCGUGUCACCAUAGCAACCCAGGCCAACAACACAGUAGGGCCCCAAAAGCGGGAACUUAAGUUUCCGUGAGCCCAGAGCAGAGUAGGGGUGGGACGGCUUUUCACCGCUCUCAGCCGCGAAACCGUCUUGAAAUCCGUCCCCUUGCGUGUACGACACCCAACACGGCGAGGGCCACCCAGUUAUCGAGCUGCUCCGAGGGCCUGGGGCCAGAUGGUGGCCAGGGACGGGGGUCCCAGCCCGGGCCGUAGCCUCCGUAGCGUGCCUGACACCCUACAGCACGGGGCACUCAAAAGGCCUGCUGCACCGAUACACACUCCCCAGGCGAGGGAACCAUAAAAACCACGUAUCAGACAAGACCUUUUUUUUUUUUUUUCUUCAGCUAAGACAGCAGAAGAGAUGAUUUAUUGUACACGUUACAUUCAGCCACAAACGAAAACAGAAUUAGUCCCGAAAGUAACAGGUCCAGGGCAAAGGACCAAGGAGGGACGGUUUGGGGAUGAUCAAGUCCGGUCUCUCAAAGGUGGUCGUCGCGAUCAGAUGGCGAUGGAUGUUCUAGAUCCACUGUAUCAAGCUCUAGAAAGGAGGCAUGCAGUCCAACAACUGGUCCCAGCGUCCCUGGCCUCUGGCUUCCCUGAUCUCUGCUCCCGUGGCUCCAUGCGUGCACAAGCUAGCUGUUUACUUGGACCUCUGCCUCAUCUUUCUUCUUUUACGCUUCAGCCUGAAAAGCAGACACGGGAAUACAGCUCUUGCCCACAAACGCCAGUUCAGUCCUUCCCUCCCAUCUUCUGGGCCGGCAAGACCGACAAGCCCUUGGCUCCUAUUAUCUUGUGUUCAAUCCCUGACUAGGGAAGUCAAUACUUCCGAUGGUUUUCCACCUAAAAUUAGUUUAGAUUUCUACACCAAGUGUGUUCCUCCCACGUUUUGUCCAAGGAACGCUACAUUUCCCUCUUCCCGUUUUGGCCGGUCAGAUCUCAACAUACCUGCGCAUUCGCUUCUUCCUCCACUGGCAACCGAUCAUAACCACAGGCAGUGAACAAAACAAGAGAUUAUUAGGUUUAGGAAUAGUUUUAGGCAGGGGUGUAAACGGCAUUAUUUAAAACCUGGCAGGUUUUUGACCAAGUAUGAGGGCCUAGUCGCAGUAACCCGAUGAGUAAUUUGACUCCCUCCCUCAACCGCCGACAUAAAUCUGAAUCUCCGUGCGCUUUUCUCCUCCCGCCCUCUUACCCACCUCCUCUGCUUCUCCCCAAAUUCUCCUCCCUCCUCCUAGCUCGUGGACAUCCCGGAGGACCCAGCGGCUCGGGAGCCAUGGCGGACUUUCCUAGCCUGGCUGUGUCCCCCCCCUCCCCCCCCCCCCCACCACCAAUCGCUACUGCGUCCGCUUGCCGCCAGGGACCGCUUACCUUGGCUCUCAUGGCGCAGAGGUCUCUACAGGUAAAGAGAGAAAGGCUACAAUUAGUUUGCUGUAAUGAUGGCAAGUGCAGAGAUCAGAUGUUAAUGGAUUGUGCACGGAAUCCGGACACGACAGGAACCAACACUCACCCGGGAAGAUGGCGCUAACGCCGAGAGAGCGGCGACGGCCCGCCUCCAACUAUUUAACAAGGAGCUGUGUCGUCACUUCCGCCGCCUCUUCCCUCCGGGGGCGGGGCUUCCCAAGGGGAGGCUCCGUGGCUUUCAGCCCGUCUCCGGUGGCAAGUGAAGCGGUUGAAUUAGGAAUUCUCUUGGAAACGUUUUACAUUUGAGUCUCAAAAUUCCCCUCCUCUGUUUUUUUUUUUUAAUUUUUUUAUGAGGACCAUUUUAAUGUAUCAUUUCAACGUGAGCGCGUAUUUCCAACGUGGGACGGAGAGGCGCAGACUUCCGCCUUCCCUCACUGCUUCUUGGGAGUUGCAGUUUCCUGGCGACGCCGUCCAUUUUAUUAAGGCUAGGGAAUCUCUCAAAACAUUUGGCGGUAGAGAGUGGGAAUAAAAAGCAAGCAGCAGCAUAUCCUCCCCCACUCCCCAUAGGUAGAACAGAAUUCAAAGGAGGCCACCUACCUGAGCUACAUCAACCACAAAAGUGUGAGCCACAUUAGCGAUGAAGCCAUCCACAUGGACCCCAAGGUCACUAAAAGGCAAGAAGAGCAGAGCACAGCAUUAGCAACUAGCACUACGCAAAGGCUUAGGAAAAAGACAAGUGCUCUAAAACGGCUUAAGCUUACAUUUUUACCAAGUCACCUUCCUUGAGAAUAUAGUCCUGGUCGCUCUUCAAAGGGGAGAAGUGACAUACACAGUUAUUUACUGAAAUGCUGGUGGGAAAGGCAAUACCUGUAAAGAGACAAUCAUCAGCCUUACUGCCUUGCUGUCUGUCUGUCUGUCUGUCUCUCUCUUUCUCUCAGCCCUGUUGCCCCUCAGAAAAAUGGAAGGAUUUUCUUCAGGGCCUUGCCUGUUUGAUCAGUUUGGAUUGAGUAGGAAACUGAUUGUAUCCCACCUGCCAUUCAAAUUUCCAAAUAUCUCAACCAGGGCUCGGAUGGGGGUUACAUCAUUACAAUAAAACAAACAGGACUGAGUAAGAGUCAAAUUUGGGAAAUUAGUGGGGUUUUUUUGUGUGUGUGUGUUUUUUUUUACCUUUCUUCAUUUCUUUUUCUUUCUUGAAAAUUUUCCCUGUCUCUUCCAUAAUCAUGGCAUCACCUUUCUCACACAGGCUCAGUACCGACACACCUGAGCAGGAUGCUUCCACCAAGGACCGAAGUACCCCUGGGAACAGAAUCCCACAAUGUCAGCCCUGCAUGUGUUGUCUAAGUUACCAUCCAAAUAAUAUCCAGAAGUUAGAGUUACUAAUAUUCCGUAGUGCCAUUGCCCAAAGGCUGAAAGAAUGAACAGAAAAGUUUUGCCUCUUGGAAUAUAGCUACUUAUAAUCACUAAAUUUCUACUUUCUUUUUCCUAAAAUAAAAAAAUCCCUCCCUA
Long non-coding RNA from Canis lupus familiaris (dog), 3259 nucleotides. RefSeq lists it as uncharacterized. The transcript has 2 exons. Lineage: Eukaryota; Metazoa; Chordata; Mammalia; Carnivora; Canidae. The record is from RefSeq and is a predicted model, not a curated record.